GAUGAAGAACGUAGUGAAAUGCGAUAAGUAGUGUGAAUUGCAGAAUUCAGUGAAUCAUCGAAUCUUUGAACGCACAUUGCGCCCCUUGGUAUCCCGAGGGGCAUGCCUGUUCGAGCGUCAUUUCACCACUCAAGCCUGGCUUGGUGUUGGGCGACGUCCUCUUUGGGGACGCGCCUCGAAACGCUCGGCGGCGUGGCACCGGCUUUAAGCGUAGCAGAAUCUUUCGCUUUGGAAGUCGGGGCCCCGUCUGCCGGAAGACCUGCUCGCAAGGUUGACCUCGGAUCAGGCAGGGAUACCCGCUGAACUUAAGCAUAUCAAUAAGCGAGGA
RNAcentral lists this unclassified non-coding RNA (328 nucleotides) under soil metagenome. Its description in RNAcentral is "partial contains 5.8S ribosomal RNA, internal transcribed spacer 2, and large subunit ribosomal RNA". The stretch from base 1 to 120 matches the Rfam family "5.8S ribosomal RNA", at positions 35 to 154 of the family's 154-position model. The record is from RNAcentral.